UACGAAGGGGGCUAGCGUUGCUCGGAAUCACUGGGCGUAAAGCGCACGUAGGCGGAUCGCUAAGUCAGGGGUGAAAUCCUGGAGCUCAACUCCAGAACUGCCUUUGAUACUGGCGAUCUUGAGUCCGGGAGAGGUGAGUGGAACUGCGAGUGUAGAGGUGAAAUUCGUAGAUAUUCGCAAGAACACCAGUGGCGAAGGCGGCUCACUGGCCCGGUACUGACGCUGAGGUGCGAAAGCGUGGGGAGCAAACAGG
This 253-nucleotide ribosomal RNA is filed under the name uncultured bacterium. Its description in RNAcentral is "partial 16S ribosomal RNA". It matches the Rfam family "Bacterial small subunit ribosomal RNA", at positions 524 to 776 of the family's 1533-position model. The record is from RNAcentral.